This 499-nucleotide ribosomal RNA is filed under the name uncultured bacterium. RNAcentral describes it as "partial 16S ribosomal RNA". It matches the Rfam family "Bacterial small subunit ribosomal RNA", at positions 28 to 507 of the family's 1533-position model. The record is from RNAcentral.
GACGAACGCUGGCGGCGUGCUUAACACAUGCAAGUCGAACGGGCCCGCUCUCUUUUUUGGGGGUGGGUUGAGUGGCGAACGGGUGAGUAUCACGUGAGUAACCUGCCCCCUGCUCCUGGAUAACUGCUUGAAAGGGCGGCUAAUACGGGGUGUGCCGGCUGGUCCGCAUGGGCCUGGUCGGGAUAGUUUCAUCUUCGGGUGUUUCGGUGGGGGAUGGGCUCGCGGCCUAUCAGCUUGUUGGUGGGGUGAUGGCCCACCAAGGCGGUGACGGGUAGCCGGCCUGAGAGGGUGGGCGGCCACACUGGGACUGAGACACGGCCCAGACUCCUGCGGGAGGCAGCAGUGGGGGGUAUUGCGCAAUGGGCGGAAGCCUGAUGCAGCGACGUCGCGUGAGGGAUGGAGGCCUUCGGGUUGUGAACCUCUUUCUCCGGUGGUGAAGGCCCUGUCCGUUGCGGCGGGGUUGACGGUAGCCGGGUAUGAAGCGCCGGCUAACUACGUG